This 399-nucleotide ribosomal RNA is filed under the name uncultured bacterium. RNAcentral's name for it is "bacterial SSU rRNA". It matches the Rfam family "Bacterial small subunit ribosomal RNA", at positions 356 to 772 of the family's 1533-position model. The record is from RNAcentral.
GGGGAAUAUUGGACAAUGGGCGAAAGCCUGAUCCAGCAAUGCCGCGUGAGUGAUGAAGGCCUUAGGGUUGUAAAGCUCUUUUACCCGGGAUGAUAAUGACAGUACCGGGAGAAUAAGCCCCGGCUAACUCCGUGACAGCAGCCGCGGUAAUACGGAGGGGGCUAGCGUUGUUCGGAAUUACUGGGCGUAAAGCGCACGUAGGCGGCUUUGUAAGUUAGAGGUGAAAGCCCAGAGCUCAACUCUGGAACUGCCUUUAAGACUGCAUCGCUUGAAUCAUGGAGAGGUUAGUGGAAUUCCGAGUGUAGAGGUGAAAUUCGUAGAUAUGCGGAGGAACACCGAUGGCGAAGGCAAUCCCCUGGACCUGUACUGACGCUCAUGCACGAAAGCGUGGGGAGCAAA